This is a non-coding RNA of Lolium perenne, 4272 nucleotides long. The record is from RefSeq and is a predicted model, not a curated record. Lineage: Eukaryota; Viridiplantae; Streptophyta; Magnoliopsida; Poales; Poaceae.
GGACGCCAACAAUUGUUUAUAAUCAGGAGCCAUCUUUAAACCUUUCGUUUCAUGGAUAUUGCCAUGCAUGGUCAUAAUUUAUGAGGCUUCUUGUCACAUGGUAGUAAAUGCUAUAAUUUUUUUUAUCUCUAAGCACUAGGCCCGAUCAAAAGAUCUUAGGUUUUCAACUUGAAGAUAGUCCCCGUUCUCAAAACAAUGCCUUCAACAAGGCCAUUGCCAGGCACAACCACGGAUUUUCACCCUGAAAGGUAAGACUCGAACCUCCAUUGCUAGUACUCCAAUCCGGCCUUCAUGAUAUUCUCCGACUGUGUUUUCACCAUGGACCAGAAUGUCAUCAGAUGGCAACAUAGAACAGAGCUUGGGUGCACACUACCGAAUACCACCUGAUCCAGCAAACUCCAGGCAUAAAGGGCCGGUCUUAGGAAGGUCACCAUCUUCGCAAAAGAAGAACCCUAGGGCAGCCACCUUUAUUAGGCAGAUCGGUGGAAGAAGAGGUCGCUGCUGACCACAAACCCAUCGACGAGUCGUCCGCCGCCACCCCAAACACCGAAGUAGGCCACCACCGUGAGCCGCCGGGAGGGAGAGGCGCAGAGGACCUACCAACCACCACCAGGCACGACCACGCCGCCGUAGACGCUGGAUCCGCAGCCAUCGGGGACACCCCCGCCGCCAACCGCAUCGCCGAAGCAUCACCCGGCUGCCACAAACCUUGCUCGGGCAGCUAGGCCCGACGCGCCGUAGAACCACCGGUCGAGGCCGCCGCCCUGGAUCCCGCCCAGGACACCACCACGCCGAUCCCCGACCAGCCCCGCUACCGGCCGGCGAUCUCUGUUGUCGAUCCGGCGCCUCCUCCGCGCGCGCACACAAGAGGGUAGCCUGCCGCUGCCGCCGCCCAGAGCACCACGGUUUUUGUGUAAUUUCAUAUUAAACAACUAAAAUUGUUGAUAUUUUUUGCGACUUCAUAUUAUGCGUAACUUUAAUAGAUCAAUUUAUUAUUUACAUAUUUAGGUUCAAAUUUGUUCGGCAAUGUCAACGGCUAAUUCAAUCAAUGUAGGCAGCAUUUUCCACUUAAGUGAAGAAUUGCAACCGUAUGUGUCUCGAACUCGAAGGAAAACCGAGACAGGCAUGCAUCAUCUCUUUUUGGCAUGACUUGACAAUUUUGUAUUUGGGCGUGGCUAAAAACGCUAAAACUUAGUUGCGUCCGUCUGGGAAACUAAGUUCGGUCGUACUUCCUAGGUUCACAAAUAAGUGUAUAUUUAGAUUUGUUUUAUAUAAUUUAUAAAUUUAUUAAAUUUGAUUUUUUUUUGAAAAAGUAGCAAUAUUUAUCACACUCGUUAGAUUUAUCUCGACAUGUAGUUUAAUAAAAUUUACAAUUUAAUGUUAUAUAUGUUGCUAUUUUUAUAUAAAAAAAUUGGUAAAAUUUAAUAAAAUUUGAUCUACGAGAAAGCUAACCAGGGACGAGUAAAUAACAUACACAUCAAAGGAAAUUCAAAUCCCGGUUGUACACGGACAGAAGGCAGAAGUACCGACACGUAGAAAAUAUGUGGAUACGUGUCGAUUGAUCACAUGACCAUUCCGUGCAUGAGCUAAGGAAAAAAAAAGGAAGCGGAGCUGGUGUAUUUACUGGAGUAAUAAAGAAAACAGUGUACUGUCAAAAAAGAACACAGUUGUGUCCCAGAGAUAGCCAGCCUCCUCCUCUCUCCCAAGACUCAAUCCAGCCACCGCUUUUUAAACCUCAACGACGGCUCCUCUACCCUUCCUCCGUCCCCUGCAACAAAUCAUCCAUUCUUGUGUAUCUUCUGCUGUACUCCCUCCGUCCUCAAAUAAGUGGAUAUCUAGCCUCAAACUUUGUCCAUGAAAGAUUGUACUUCUAUGUUUUCAAUGCACUUUAAAUUAGCAAAAGUUGUUUCUCUCCCAUCGCACGGAAAUCAAACCCAAUAAUAUUCAACACAUGUUAUCUUAACUUUGUACAUGCACUUAGCCUAUUGGAUGUGUAAUAAUUAUAGAGGAGAGAGAUGUUGGUUGCAUCUUCCCAAUACAAUUUUUUUCUCCUUUUACUAAUUUAUCUUGAAAAUCCCGCACGUCCACUUAUUUGUGGACGGAGGGAGUAGACCUCAAAUGCUGUGGAGAAGGAGUUAGAAAUGGCUGGCCGCAAGGAAGAGGGGAGCGGGCGGUCGGGGCAGCAGGAGAGCAAAACAAGCAGGCGGCCAUGGGGGAGGGACAACGCGAAGAGGAAGGGGGAUGGGAAGAGGAGGGAGCAGGGGAAUGGGAAGGAGGAGGAAGGCAAGAAGUUUGGGCCGCAAUUCUGCAGGCUGUUCUUGGCCCCUGAAUCCGGGGGGAGUGAUUGAGAAUUCUAUGAGCAUUCUGUCAGUACCUUCUGAAUCAUCCAACUGGAUUGAUGUCCCUGAAAGGUCAAAGUGGUAACACGUGGCCUGCAAAGCUUUCUUUAGACACUGAAGGGUUAUUCUUUGGACAUGGGUGGAAGGAAUUUAUUAUGGAUCAUUCCAUAGAGUCAGGACACACUUUAACCUUCUCUUAUGAUGGGCACUCACAAUUCUCAGUGGUGGUAUUUGAUGGACUCUGUAUUGAGAAGUCAUCAGCUUUUCAUGCUAAGCCUUCAAACGAUCUGGUCUGUACAACAGAAAGUGAUGAAGAGGACAAUGAUAUAUCGGCUGCUUUAGUUGAUUACAAAUCAGCAAGUCUUAACAGUACUGAAGGCCCUAUCAAAAGAUCUUAGGUUUUCACCCUGAAGAUAGUCCCCGCUCUCAAAAAAUGUCUUCAACAAGGCCAUUGCCAGGCACAACCAAUUAAGGCUCGACCUUGGAUUUUCACCCUGAAAGAGAAUUCCACCAGCAUUCUAUCAGUACGUUCAGAAUCAUCCAAUUGGAUUGAUAUACCUGAAAGGUCAAAGUGGUAACACAUGGCCUGCAAAGCUUUCUUCAGACAUUGAAGGGUUGUUCUUUGGACAUGGGUGGAAGGAAUUUGUUAUGGAUAAUUCCAUAGAGUCAGGACACAUUUUAACCUUCUCUUAUAAUGGACACUCACAAUUCUUGGUGGUGGUAUUUGAUGGACUCUGUAUUGAGAAGUCAUUAGCUUUUGAUGCUAAGCUUUGAAACAAUCUGGUUUGUAUAAUAGAAACUGAUGAAGAGGACAAUGAUACAUCGGCUGCUUCAGUUGGUUACAAAUCAUUAAGCCUUAACAGUACUGAAGAUUCUGAUUCACCAAACCACGUGUUAGAAGAAAGUGUCCCUCACAAAGAUUCUUCAAUGUUUUCACCGAUGUUCAGAAUUUCUAAGGAAGUGGAUGAAUCUAGGGUGUCCCUCACAAAGAUUCUUCAAAGUUUUCACCUCAAGUUUUCUAAGGAAGUUAGACCUGCUUGAGCCCCGUCGUGCUUAGUUGCUUGCUCGUGGUCAUGUUCCCCUUUAUGAGGUGCGGUCUGAGCUUCGUGCUGAGGAGACUCGCCUACGUGGCGUUGGUUUACUGGAUGUUCCUUCUGUACUUGCUACACAUGGCCCUUCGUCGCCUGCUCUACCGCCUUCUUCGAGGCACGUUGCUCUGCCACUUUUACCCACUACCGAGGCCCAGGGCCAAAGUUGUGGUUAGGGUCAGGGCCAGUGUCGUGGCUAGGGUCGCUCCCGUCCUCACUGCACCUAUUGUGACAUGGAUGGUCAUAUUGAGUCCCGCUGCUACACGAAGGAGCGUGAUAUACGUCAGCAGAGGUCGUUCGCUUUCGGAUCUUCUCCAGCUAGCUCCACCAAGCAAGAUAUUGUGUGGCUCAGGCGGCUGCUCGCCGCUUCAGGGUCUCCCUCGACAGCCUGUGACUGAUUCUUCUGGCACUAUGUGACCACCAUCUUCUACACAGGAUCGUCGCACACAAGCUUUGGUUGGAGCUGGCCCUCGCCGACAUGAUUCCCAGGGGUUUUGGGAGUUAGACUGGCUUCGUGUUCCUUGCGCUGCCACCUCGUCUUCCAGUUCUUCUGCUAUCGUUGCUUUUGCCACCAGUGGUAUCAUCGUCUUGGCCACCUUUGUGGUUCUCGUAUGUCGUCAUUAAUUCAUCGUGGUCUUCUAGGGCAUGUCUCAGAGGCAAGGUAAACAUAUUCAGUUACCCUAUCAUAGUAGUGUGUCUGUAUCUCAGCGACCUUUUGAUUUAUUCACUCUGAUGUUUGGGGACUGGCUCCUUUCGCUUCGAAAGGCUGCAUAUUUCACCUUGUACAUGUACUAUAUAUUGUGACCUUUGGCCUCAUGGAAUACAUAUUGGCAUAUUCCCUCCAA